Molecule: long non-coding RNA, 947 nt
Organism: Tympanuchus pallidicinctus (lesser prairie-chicken)
Lineage: Eukaryota; Metazoa; Chordata; Aves; Galliformes; Phasianidae
Exons: 11
Source: RefSeq, a predicted model, not a curated record
CUCUAGGAGGUUCUAGGUCACCCAACAGUGGGAAACGUCUCCUCUGUGAGGUUCUAGGUCACCCAACAGCGGGAAAUGUCUUCUCUGUGAGGUUCUAGGUCACCCAACAGUGGGAAAUGCCAUCCCUGUGAGGUUCUGAGUCGUGUAGUAGGUGGGAAAUGCCAUCUUGGUGAGGUUCUAGGUCACCCAACAGCAGAUGAUUCCAUCCCUGUGAGGUUCUAGGUCACUCAACAGUGGAAAACGUCUCGUCUGUGAGGUUCUAGGUCACCCAACAGUGGGAAACGUCUCCUCUGUGAGGUUCUAGGUCACCCAACAGCGGGAAAUGUCUCCUCUGUGAGGUUCUGGGUCACCCAACAGUGGGAAAUGCCAUCCCUGUGGGGUUCUGGGUCGUGUAGUAGGUGGGAAAUGCCAUCUUGGUGAGGUUCUAGGUCACCCAACAGCAGAUGAUUCCAUCCCUGUGAGGUUCUAGGUCACCCAACAGCGGGUGAUUCCAUCUCUAUGAGGUUCUGGGUCACCCAACAGUGGGAAAUGCCAUCCCUGUGAGGUUCUGAGUCGUGUAGUAGGUGGGAAAUGCCAUCUUGGUGAGGUUCUAGGUCACCCAACAGCAGAUGAUUCCAUCUCUGUGAGGUUCUGGGUCGUGUAGUAGGUGGGAAAUGCCAUCUUGGUGAGGUUCUAGGUCACCCAACAGCAGAUGAUUCCAUCUCUGUGAGGUUCUAGGUCACCCAACAGCGGGUGAUGCCAUCUCUAUGAGGUUCUAGGUAACUCAACAGUGGGAAACGUCUCCUCUAUGAGGUUCUAGGUAACUCAAUAGUGUGUAAUAUCAUGUCUGUGAGAUUCUAGGCCACCCAGCAGGGCACAAUAUCACCUCAGUGAAGUUGCAUCCCGCCAACCGCACACAACCCCCCCUUGACCCCCCACCCCCCGUCACCCUCCAACCUUCCCCCAAC